Molecule: ribosomal RNA, 84 nt
Filed under: Actinomadura sp. 7K507
Lineage: Bacteria; Bacillati; Actinomycetota; Actinomycetes; Streptosporangiales; Thermomonosporaceae
Source: RNAcentral
CCCAUCCCGAACCCGGAAGUUAAGCCCUUCAGCGCCGAUGGUACUGCACGGGAGACUGUGUGGGAGAGUAGGACACCGCCGGAC